UCGCGGGACCCCCACACUCCUCCCGCUUCCGGUGCGGCUCCCGCACAGCAGCCAGCUCCGGAACACUAAGGGAGGGUGCAGGCGAGCAGGGUACUCCGGCCGGGCUGGUCAAGAGGCGAGGCCGAGGGGAGGUGGGGAAGGAGAGGUGGGAGGAGGGCCUCGGAGGCGGAGAAGAGGGGCGGGCGCGGUGGGAGCUGUGUGCGGGCUGCGGCGCGGGCGGGCGCAGGGACGCGAUGUCGCCGCCGCUGCCGCCUCCUCGUGGGCCGGGGCUGCGCCGCCGGGGCUGAGCCGCAGCCCCAGCCGCUAGGCGAGCGGCCGCCGGGCGCACCCGCAGCGCGGGAGGAUGGGCUGCGGCGGGAGCCGGGCCGAUGCCAUCGAGCCUCGCUACUACGAGAGCUGGACCCGGGAGACCGAGUCCACCUGGCUCACCUACACCGACUCGGACGCGCCGCCCAGCGCCGCCGGCCCAGACAGCGGCCCCGAGGCGGGCGGCCUGCACGCGGGCUAAGCGAGACGCUAAGAGAAUGUCUGCAAAAGAAGUCACCAUCAACGUUACAGACAGCAUCCGACAGGUGGACAGAAGUAAAAGAAUCACAAAGAACUGCGUCAACUAGCCGAGUGUCCAAACACAAGGGCAGGUGGACUUCUUCGGUGACUUCAUGAUAUUGAUUCCUGUCGGUGAAAGUUGAAAAAGUGGGGACCACUUACUGACCAUGAACGCUGCUGAGUGCCUUGUGGGACUGUCUUACCCCACAGCAAAUGCCUGCCUGAGCUGUUGGGUCCUCUGAGCCUCUUGUUUAGCACGUGAAUGCAUUAACAGUCCUCACCUUUGUGAAUAACCUGCAAAUGUGCCCUUCAGUUUGCCUCUUUGCAUCUCCUGGAGUAGGGAGUGGGGGUACAGUGGUGAGCUGGAGCCACAGGUCAGUUUGUGAAAGAGGAAAAUAAGAGUAGAUUUCCUGGGUGAAAAAGUUGCACAUCAGUGCCAAGCUCUUCUGAGCACAGUAGUGUGAAUUUCAGGCAAGCUUACCCUUUCAUUCUUUAUUUUUAAACAUCACCAUCACAAAGCGUACUGUGUUCGCCUAAAAGCUGGCUUUCCUCCAACUGUAAACCCAGAUCGAUGUGAAAUCAGGAAACAGGAAAAGUCCCGGUUAUUCUCAUUUCCUUAGCUCACAAUCAGACCAGAUCCUGUUUCACACACACUAACUCCAGCAGGCAAGGCCCAUGGCGUGUCCUUGGGAAGUCUGUGUGAUGCUGUCACACCUGCUCCUCCCCUGCCUCCAAACCACAGGAUCAGUCUGUGGCGUCAUGUCAUAUAAAGUGGCCAUGCAUCCAGCCUGGGACACCACUCAGGGCUCAGGCAGACACUGCGUAUUUCAUAGCUUUCUGGUUCCCUUUGCUUGUCUUAGUAGUUUUCUCUCUCCAGUUGAGUCACUCACUACGGUUAAUUGAAAACUAGACACUGCUCACAGGAGAGAGAUAGUCUAGGGACCUGUGGCAGCACAUGGAGCUUUCUCUGUCCACAGCCCCAGGACUGGGUCAUUUUGGCAUCUGUAAAGGAACUACUUUAGAAAGACAGCACCUGCUGGAUGUGUAUUCACAUUGAUAUUAGACUAAUGUGCACUGUGUUACAGAUCAGGUAGUUGACACAGUAAAAUGAUGUUCUGAUAGAAAAAGUUUUUCUAGCAUUUCCUUAAACAUGUUCAGCUGGAAGUAUUUUCUUCCAAAAUAACGUAGCAUGAUUUUUAAAGAACUGCUAACAAGUCUGGGAUUGGGAAAAGUAGGACUAAAGUUGUACCAAACUAUACCAAUAAACUCCAUGUUUAGCAGAAAUAGGCAGCUUGAUGGUAUGUGUUUAUGUAACAUAGUCCCGAGAACUGACCUACGAGGUUAAAAUUCAGUUACUCAGUGGCGCACCUACUAACUCUGGUAUUCCUCAGACACCAGAGGAUAAUGUCUUCCUUUCUUGUUUCCCUCCCUCCCUCCCUUCCUCCUUUUCUUCCUCCUGCUGAUAGAUUUUAUACUUAUUCAUUAAACAUUAAGUGCCCACUUUAUGCCAGUUACUGUGCAGAUGUUGAGAGAUGUGGGGUCAGGCCUCUUGCGACCUUAUAUCCAGAAUCUACCAGUAGGCCUAACAAGUAGGACUGACUUAGCGACACUAAGGUGUAGUGUGUGUUGUGAAUUACUCUGCAAUGGAGUCUUGCUUUUAUAGUAGGGUUGAUGUGUGUCCUAAAUGACAGAUCUGGGUGUUCUCAUCAUCAUUGUACAAGCCUUUACCAUACACAAAACUACAAGUUUUCCUAAACCUCUCUCAUUUUGAUUCCUUGAAAAAGGGCUUUUAAGGACUUCACAUUCUGAAAAAAAAUUUUAACUUUUAUUAUUUUAAAGCAAAACCUGUGACUCAUAUGUCCCUAGUGGCAUUACUCAGCAGGAGUCCCCAACUCUAAAGGUUGGCAAUGAUCCUGCAAGUUCAAGGGCUUGUUCUCCCAGGGCAUGUGUGUUUUGCUUUGUGUAAGGCGUUCUUUCACCAGUCGCUGUGCUGUGAGCCAUGGGCUAAGCCUAGUUUCUCUUUCCACUCUGUUUUUGCCUCAGUUCACUGCUACAGGUUAUUUGGAAUUCAGCAGCUUGAGAAGGUGGCUCUGUUUAUCCAGAAACACUUUUUCGCCUCUAGGGGAGAAGGGAAUGAAGGACAUGUGAUCUGGCCCUCCCCAGAACCAUCUGGGUCUCUCUGAGACAGUGACCAGAAGCUAAAUCAAGUUACUGGAAAUUCAUCUGGCAGCUUCUCCGUGUGUAUAUGAGACAGGCAUUGAUUCUUGCUAUCCCGUUGGGAAAACACUUUCCACUGCAAAGUUUGUGUCAAUAAAGUCAUUAAUUUCAAACAUA
This is a non-coding RNA of Oryctolagus cuniculus (rabbit), 2880 nucleotides long. Lineage: Eukaryota; Metazoa; Chordata; Mammalia; Lagomorpha; Leporidae. The record is from RefSeq and is a predicted model, not a curated record.